This 1871-nucleotide long non-coding RNA is filed under the name Equus asinus (donkey). Its description in RNAcentral is "lncRNA (ENSEASG00005034419.1)". Lineage: Eukaryota; Metazoa; Chordata; Mammalia; Perissodactyla; Equidae. The record is from RNAcentral.
GCCGUUAGGAGGGUGGGGCCGAAUGAUCGCUUCUUCUCUUAUUUAAGACAGCUCCCUGUCGCUCUGUUUAAAAUCUUUCAUCACCUAGGACAUUGCCACUCAACUGGGGCUUUGUUUUCCCUGAAUAGAGUUUAAUCAACUGAACUUUCAACAAUUGGAAAUAUUUUGUAGCCAUUGAAACUGAAUUUAUAGAGCUGAUUUGAUUAAAUUGCCCAGUAGAGGUUGAUUUUUAUUCCUGUGCAUUUUGGUGUCUGUUUAAAAUGACUGGUUCUGCUUUGACGGAAUGCCAUUUUCAACAUGAAAUUAAAUGUCAUUUUUAAGUUAUAAUCGUUCACUGACGUUAUCAGAAGUACAGUUAAUCAAUUUUUUGAUCCAUGUGUUUCAACAGAGCACUAGCAAAAAUAAUAUUUUAGAUUUUUUUAAGGAUUGGCACUUGAGCUAACAACUAUUGCCAAUCUUCUUUUUUUUUUUUUUUCAUUCUUCUUCCCACAGCCCCCCAGUAGAUAAUUGUGUAUUCUAGUCAUGAGCCUCUUGGCUGUGCUAUGUGGGAUGCUGCCUCAGUGUGGCCUGAUGAGCGGUGCCAUGUCCGCACCCAGGAUCCAAACCAGUGAAACCCUGGGCCACUGAAGCAGAGCGCAUGAACUUAACCACUCGGCCAUGGGGCCGGCCCCUAUUUUAGCCUUAUAUACUUAAAUCAAAUGCUAGAUUUUUUUUUUCUGAAUUAAGGAAGUAUUUUGUUACAGAGGAUACAAACACAGACUCCAGUUUUACCUGAACUUCCAGGAUCAUUGGACCUUUUCACUUGCCAUUACUACCAUCAUUGCUGUUGCUUCUGAGUAUGAUUCAGUAUAUUGCUUAGUCUCUUCACAGGGACAAAUUAAAAUCUUAGAUUCUUUUGUUUAAAACAGGAAUAUCUUUUCAAUGGAAUAAAUGGCUUUAAAAUUCAAAUUGUUGUAGUUCAGCAUUCCUUAGAACAUUUCUCUGUUGUCUUUUUUGUUUGUUCGCAGGGAAAGAUUGGCCCUGAGCGAACAUCUGUUGCCAGUCUUGCUCUUCUUUUUACCCCUCCCCAAAGCCCCAGUGCAUGGUUGUAUAGCCUAGUUGUAAAUCCUAGUUCUUGUGUGUGAGCCACUGUCACUGCACAGCGACUGACAGAUGGGUGGUGUGGUUCUGCGCCUGGGAAACAAACUCAGGCCACUAAACUGGUGAGAGCACAUCAGAGCUGGCUCAUUUCUCUUAGUUUUGAAAGAUGGUAGUAAUUAAGUUUUUCAAGGGAUAAUUUCUUGAAGAACAAUUUUGCUAAUAUUUGUUCAUUAUGCUUAUUUAGGAGAUCAAAUUUUUAAUGAGCAUGCAGAAUGUUUACAGAGAAAGGUAUAUCUGAUUUAGAGUAGGCUGUAAUAAAGCUGUGUUUUGGAAAAGUUAUAUCACAAGUCCACUUAGUGUUUUUAAUACAAAAUUACAGAAAUUUAGAAUACAAUGAAAUUUAGAUCCUUUUUAUAUUUUGCAAAAGUAUGAUGCAAGGUGGAUAAAUUGUUUUAGAAUGCUAUUAAUCUAAAAAGCAAAAAUAAAAGUUAAAUAAACGCUUAACUUCUGCUGUAUUUGGGUCCUACCAGUGGAGAAGUCGAUGUAAGGGUGCAAGCAUUGGUCUCGCACACUGUUGGCCACAAAUGCUAAAGUAAAAUGCAUGUAUCUAUUUGAAUAAAAUAAAUGGUAUCCCACGAGAUCUUUUUCCUAUUUGUCUUUUGCAAAUAUAAGAAAAUAACUACUUACCUUUGGAAUAUUAUACACAAGAUUCUUCUGUUUUUAGAAUAUCAUGUCUAGUUCUAACAAGCUGUUCUGUAGCCUUAAUGGUCUUCUGCAACUGCUUCCUGGCG